RNAcentral lists this unclassified non-coding RNA (352 nucleotides) under fungal sp. RNAcentral's name for it is "partial internal transcribed spacer region". The stretch from base 1 to 46 matches the Rfam family "Eukaryotic small subunit ribosomal RNA", at positions 1786 to 1831 of the family's 1831-position model. Lineage: Eukaryota; Fungi. The record is from RNAcentral.
AAGUCGUAACAAGGUUUCCGUAGGUGAACCUGCGGAAGGAUCAUUAACACGUGCAAACGUAUUAAUUUACCUUGACCAACACCCUGUGAAUUUAUACCUAUUCCUAACGUCGGUUCAUGUAAUGUAGUGGGACGUGAUCCUAGCGAUCAUGUUGUUACAUCGAACCUGGGGCUUCGAGCCCAACGUGCGUUAACGGGUAGGAUUUUCUCUUUACCCUACUACAUAAAACAAACCAACCUAUUUCACCAAUUAACAAAUGUGACUGAUGUACGUUGAUAGUACAGAAAUGUACUGGAUCAACACCAUUUAUCUAAACUAAGCACAACUCUUAGCAAUGGAUAUCUUGGUUCUC